UGCGUAGGCGGUUGGGUAAGUCAGAGGUGAAAUUCCGGGGCUCAACCUCGGAACUGCCUUUGAUACUGCCUGACUAGAGUACUGGAGAGGAGACUGGAAUUCACGGUGUAGCAGUGAAAUGCGUAGAUAUCGUGAGGAAGACCAGUGGCGAAGGCGAGUCUCUGGACAGUUACUGACGCUGAGGCACGAAGGCGUAGGGGAGACAAACG
RNAcentral lists this ribosomal RNA (209 nucleotides) under uncultured bacterium. RNAcentral describes it as "partial 16S ribosomal RNA". It matches the Rfam family "Bacterial small subunit ribosomal RNA", at positions 568 to 774 of the family's 1533-position model. The record is from RNAcentral.